This 754-nucleotide ribosomal RNA is filed under the name Salmonella enterica. RNAcentral describes it as "partial 23S ribosomal RNA". It matches the Rfam family "Bacterial large subunit ribosomal RNA", at positions 2058 to 2811 of the family's 2925-position model. The record is from RNAcentral. Lineage: Bacteria; Pseudomonadati; Pseudomonadota; Gammaproteobacteria; Enterobacterales; Enterobacteriaceae.
GAUGCAGUGUACCCGCGGCAAGACGGAAAGACCCCGUGAACCUUUACUAUAGCUUGACACUGAACAUUGAGCCUUGAUGUGUAGGAUAGGUGGGAGGCUUUGAAGUGUGGACGCCAGUCUGCAUGGAGCCGACCUUGAAAUACCACCCUUUAAUGUUUGAUGUUCUAACGUGGACCCGUAAUCCGGGUUGCGGACAGUGUCUGGUGGGUAGUUUGACUGGGGCGGUCUCCUCCUAAAGAGUAACGGAGGAGCACGAAGGUUGGCUAAUCCUGGUCGGACAUCAGGAGGUUAGUGCAAUGGCAUAAGCCAGCUUGACUGCGAGCGUGACGGCGCGAGCAGGUGCGAAAGCAGGUCAUAGUGAUCCGGUGGUUCUGAAUGGAAGGGCCAUCGCUCAACGGAUAAAAGGUACUCCGGGGAUAACAGGCUGAUACCGCCCAAGAGUUCAUAUCGACGGCGGUGUUUGGCACCUCGAUGUCGGCUCAUCACAUCCUGGGGCUGAAGUAGGUCCCAAGGGUAUGGCUGUUCGCCAUUUAAAGUGGUACGCGAGCUGGGUUUAGAACGUCGUGAGACAGUUCGGUCCCUAUCUGCCGUGGGCGCUGGAGAACUGAGGGGGGCUGCUCCUAGUACGAGAGGACCGGAGUGGACGCAUCACUGGUGUUCGGGUUGUCAUGCCAAUGGCACUGCCCGGUAGCUAAAUGCGGAAGAGAUAAGUGCUGAAAGCAUCUAAGCACGAAACUUGCCCCGAGAUGAGUUC